Molecule: ribosomal RNA, 506 nt
Filed under: uncultured bacterium
Lineage: Bacteria
Description: partial 16S ribosomal RNA
Rfam family: Bacterial small subunit ribosomal RNA
Source: RNAcentral
AUUGAACGCUGGCGGCAGGCCUAACACAUGCAAGUCGAACGGCAGCGGGGGAUAGCUUGCUAUCCUGCCGGCGAGUGGCGGACGGGUGAGUAAUGCAUGGGGAGCUGCCCAGUCGAGGGGGAUAACAACUGGAAACGGUUGCUAAUACCGCAUACGCCCUGAGGGGGAAAGGUGGGGAACUUCGGUCCUACCGCGAUUGGAUGCGCCCAUGUGGGAUUAGCUAGUUGGUGAGGUAACGGCUCACCAAGGCGACGAGCUCUAGCUGGUCUGAGAGGAUGACCAGCCACACUGGAACUGAGACACGGUCCAGACUCCUACGGGAGGCAGCAGUGGGGAAUAUUGCACAAUGGGGGAAACCCUGAUGCAGCCAUGCCGCGUGUGUGAAGAAGGCCUUCGGGUUGUAAAGCACCUUCAGUCAGGAGGAAGGGGUGAUGGCUAAUAUCCAUCAUCAUUGACGUUACUGACAGAAGAAGCACCGGCUAACUCCGUGCCAGCCGCCGCCGUAA